RNAcentral lists this ribosomal RNA (694 nucleotides) under uncultured Eubacteriales bacterium. Its description in RNAcentral is "bacterial SSU rRNA". It matches the Rfam family "Bacterial small subunit ribosomal RNA", at positions 43 to 740 of the family's 1533-position model. Lineage: Bacteria; Bacillati; Bacillota; Clostridia; Eubacteriales. The record is from RNAcentral.
CGUGCAUAACACAUGCAAGUCGAACGAUGAGGAUUAUUAGACUUCUUCGGAAUGAAAAUAAUUGGAUUAGUGGCGGACGGGUGAGUAACACGUGAGUAACCUGCCUUACACAAGGGGAUAGCCGUUGGAAACGACGAAUAAUACCCUAUGAAACUAUCACUUCGCAUGAGGCGAUAGUCAAAGUGUUAGCGGUGUAAGAUGGACUUGCGUCUGAUUAGCUAGUUGGUGAGAAAAAAGCCCACCAAGGCAACGAUCAGUAGCCGGCUUGAGAGAGUGUACGGCCACAUUGGGACUGAGACACGGCCCGGACUCCUACGGGAGGCAGCAGUGGGGAAUUUUGCACAAUGGGGGAAACCCUGAUGCAGCGACGCCGCGUGAUUUAGAAGGCCUUCGGGUUGUAAAAAUCUUUUGUAUAGGAAGAAAAUGACAGUACUAUACGAAUAAGGUCCGGCUAAUUACGUGCCAGCAGCCGCGGUAAUACGUAAGGACCGAGCGUUGUCCGGAAUCAUUGGGCGUAAAGGGUACGUAGGCGGGUCACCAAGUUAGAAGUCAAAGGCUAUAGCUCAACUAUAGUAAGCUUCUAAAACUGGAGACCUUGAGUAAUGGAAGGGAAAGUGGAAUUCCUAGUGUAGCGGUGGAAUGCGCAGAUAUUAGGAGGAAUACCGGUGGCGAAGGCGACUUUCUGGCCAUUAAC